GACGAACGCUGGCGGCGUGCCUAACACAUGCAAGUCGAGCGAAUGAAGUUCCUUCGGGAACGGAUUUAGCGGCGGACGGGUGAGUAACACGUGGGCAACCUGCCUCAUAGAGGGGAAUAGCCUUCCGAAAGGGAGAUUAAUACCGCAUAAGAUUGUAGUACCGCAUGGUACAGCAAUUAAAGGAGCAAUCCGCUAUGAGAUGGGCCCGCGGCGCAUUAGCUAGUUGGUGAGGUAACGGCUCACCAAGGCGACGAUGCGUAGCCGACCUGAGAGGGUGAUCGGCCACAUUGGGACUGAGACACGGCCCAGACUCCUACGGGAGGCAGCAGUGGGGAAUAUUGCACAAUGGGGGAAACCCUGAUGCAGCAACGCCGCGUGAGUGAUGACGGCCUUCGGGUUGUAAAGCUCUGUCUUCAGGGACGAUAAUGACGGUACCUGAGGAGGAAGCCACGGCUAACUACGU
This 463-nucleotide ribosomal RNA is filed under the name uncultured bacterium. RNAcentral describes it as "partial 16S ribosomal RNA". It matches the Rfam family "Bacterial small subunit ribosomal RNA", at positions 28 to 506 of the family's 1533-position model. The record is from RNAcentral.